This 481-nucleotide ribosomal RNA is filed under the name uncultured bacterium. RNAcentral describes it as "bacterial SSU rRNA". It matches the Rfam family "Bacterial small subunit ribosomal RNA", at positions 30 to 507 of the family's 1533-position model. The record is from RNAcentral.
AUUGAACGCUGGCGGCAUGCCUUACACAUGCAAGUCGACGGUAACAGCACUUCGGUGGCUGACGAGUGGCGAACGGGUGAGUAAUACAUCGGAACGUGCCCGAGAGUGGGGGAUAACGCAGCGAAAGCUGUGCUAAUACCGCAUACGAUCUACGGAUGAAAGCAGGGGACCGCAAGGCCUUGCGCUCAUGGAGCGGCCGAUGGCAGAUUAGGUAGUUGGUGGGAUAAAAGCUUACCAAGCCGACGAUCUGUAGCUGGUCUGAGAGGACGACCAGCCACACUGGGACUGAGACACGGCCCAGACUCCUACGGGAGGCAGCAGUGGGGAAUUUUGGACAAUGGGCGAAAGCCUGAUCCAGCCAUGCCGCGUGCAGGAUGAAGGCCUUCGGGUUGUAAACUGCUUUUGUACGGAACGAAAAGGUCUUUUCUAAUAAAGAAGGCUCAUGACGGUACCGUAAGAAUAAGCACCGGCUAACUACGUG